CCAGCAGCCGCGGUAAUUCCAGCUCCAAUAGCGUAUAUUAAAGUUGUUGCAGUUAAAAAGCUCGUAGUUGAAUUUCUGUUUAGGUAAUCUCUUGCGGCUUCGGCCAGCAGGUGGAUGAACCUAAACAUUUUUUCAACGCCUGCACUGCACUUAACUGUGUGGUGUGUGGCUUGGAUCUUUUACUUUGAAAAAAUUAGAGUGUUUCAAGCAAGCAUCCGCUUUGAAUACUGCAGCAUGGAAUAAUAUGAUAAGACUUUGGUCUUAUUUGUUGGUUUCUAAGGCCGAAGUAAUGAUUGAUAGGGACAGUUAGGGGCAUUCGUAUUUAACUGUCAGAGGUGAAAUUCUUGGAUUUGUUAAAGACGAACUACUGCGAAAGCAUUUGCCAGGG
This 388-nucleotide ribosomal RNA is filed under the name uncultured eukaryote. RNAcentral describes it as "SSU rRNA". It matches the Rfam family "Eukaryotic small subunit ribosomal RNA", at positions 567 to 963 of the family's 1831-position model. The record is from RNAcentral.